Long non-coding RNA from Triticum aestivum (bread wheat), 270 nucleotides. RefSeq lists it as uncharacterized. NCBI's taxonomy places the organism in Eukaryota, Viridiplantae, Streptophyta, Magnoliopsida, Poales, Poaceae. The transcript is spliced from 3 exons. The record is from RefSeq and is a predicted model, not a curated record.
GAGCACUUCCAUGUCACCCCGAAUGCUAGCGGCUCCUGAAUGAGGGGUACGAGUGUGUUAGCGAGGUAAAAGGCUGAAGUGACAACACCUCUGGGACUGAUCCCCAGUGCACAAAACUUCCAUGGUGGUGUGUGCAGUUCCAAGGCCCACUUGAGCUACUCUUGGUGAUGUCAGCGGAGAAUUUCCACGGCACCUAAAAAACAAGAGUUUCAAUUGUAUAAAGAAAUCCAUGUGUGACAGAACCUUUACACGAGGUAACAUGCGGAUCUG